UUGGAACUAUAUCUAUAUCAGAGCAGCCUCGGAGACGGGUUCCGACGAGGCUCUACCUUUUUCCGAUCUUCAUAUCCACUUAUUUUCUAUGUAUUUUGAUCGACCUCACAACAUACGAAUUUCUGCCAUGGAAGAUGGGGGAGCUCCAUAUGUUUCUGUGGAUUCGUUUUUCUUUCACAAACCUAUAAAAGAUAAAAUUCCAUCGUGCGAUCUUGCUCUCAUUGUUGGAAUCGGCGGUCUCGGAAUACAAUUUCAAAUUAUAUAAGAUUUGGGGCAUCAAGAAUCAGUGAGACAUAGUUCGUACUUCCAACGACAACCCACCCAGGUGUCAUAGUCACAGACAGAGAGUUGGCUUUGAUUAAUGCAUGCAGAGUGGUAUCUCCGGGUACUAAACAGUUACUUUAUAGAUGACACAUCUUUCAAAAUAUUUUGAAACAUUGUAGACCAUCGAUUCACGAGUCUCACUCGUGGAACUCUUUUUUGUCAAUUAUGGUUACAAUUACUUGAAUCUCAAAAUCAGGAAUGGUACACGUACAACUUGUGGAUUCCGAGCUAUAUCUACUUGUCUGGGUGGUCAUGAAGACGAAUGAGACAAUAUCCGCAAAGAGUUAAUGAUUGAACUGAGUAUGUACAAUAUUACUCUUAUGUGAUCGGCAAAGAGUGCUUACGCAUUCACGAAGCGUUGAUUUUUUUCCAAAAGGGCGUAUUCGCACCAGCUACGCAUUGGAUUGCUAUGCAUGAAAUGGGCAUUCUAACGGCUUCAAGGUUCAAUGUCAUUCUGCAUGUUCUCAAUAUAGCAGACAAUGUGACAUACUUAUCGUUUAGGACAUAACCUCCGUCGUCAUCUCAACACGUGACAUUGCAAUAGUAGAUGUUGAUGGUAACCAUUACAUAAAGAUGAUAUUAAAUGAAGAAUAUCCAAUGCCCACACUUACGCACCAUUGGGCACGUUAUCGUCUUCAAGAUACAAGUACAUGGAUUGUCUCGUACCAACAUAUAUUCAAUGAGUAUGAAGAACAUAUAGAGCGUACUCUUACUCGUGAAUAUGUUAAUUUAACAUGAAAGUCAAAGUUUUUAAUAUAUUAUAAUUUAUC
This is a long non-coding RNA of Cynara cardunculus var. scolymus (artichoke), 1094 nucleotides long. RefSeq lists it as uncharacterized. The transcript has 2 exons. Lineage: Eukaryota; Viridiplantae; Streptophyta; Magnoliopsida; Asterales; Asteraceae. The record is from RefSeq and is a predicted model, not a curated record.